AGGCAGCAGUCACGGUGGACAAGGUUCACCUUCAGGAGGAAGCCAGCAUGGUGGGCAGGGUUCACACUUCUCAGGAGGCAACCAGUAUGGUGGACAGGGUCCGUAUUUCUCAGGUGGCAGCCCUUACGGAGGACAGGGCUUUUCUUCAGGAGGCAGCCACUCUGGUGGACAGGGUGGAUGUCUGUGUCCUGGUGGAAGUCCAG
Molecule: non-coding RNA, 203 nt
Organism: Tinamus guttatus (white-throated tinamou)
Lineage: Eukaryota; Metazoa; Chordata; Aves; Tinamiformes; Tinamidae
Source: RefSeq, a predicted model, not a curated record